This is a long non-coding RNA of Ictalurus punctatus (channel catfish), 2600 nucleotides long. NCBI's taxonomy places the organism in Eukaryota, Metazoa, Chordata, Actinopteri, Siluriformes, Ictaluridae. The record is from Ensembl.
CAGUUUUGCAGUUAUGGGAAACAGUAACUCCACAUCAGGCCUCAUCACACCACACAGUCGUUGAUUAUUUUCCCAUAACAGCACAACCUCCAUUGUUUUAUUCUUUACUUAACACUUGCUACUAUAUAAACAGAACUGAACAUUACAGGCAGCUCGGUGUAGCACGUUCAAGCGCCUUGAUUUAGACUGAAGGUUGUACUUUUCCGGUUACAAAUGAGUGGAUAAUUAUAUCACAUCGCAGCCCAGAGUCCUUUAACCUGUAAGACACACUCAACAUAUUUAGAUGAUUCCUUUUGCCUAGAGCAGAUUGCACUGUCCAAUAACGGAGCAACACGGGGUUCAGAGUUUUUGCUCAAGGGCACAAUGGCAACAGUUUUCAGCGGGGAUGAAACCCCUGACUCGAUCAAAGCCGCUGGACUAGCACUCCAGAUCCACAAAGCUAAGACGAUGUUCGAAAGGAAGGCCAAGAGGGAGGGACACACUGCACUUCCUCCCUGUCCACUGCUUUAUUAUAUCAUCCCUACAAGACAGAGAUGAAGGAGUCAGGCGACGGGCGCAGAAGCAACCUGCAACCUCUCUUGAUGUCUCCUUUUCCGCUUGGGAAACGAUGCGUCACAGAGAACCGGGUUCACCUCCUUACCAGGCACGCUGCCAUGCUCUGAUCUUCCUUUUCUUAUUUAUUUAUUUAUUUAUUUAUUUAUUUAUUUUAAAAAUGUGUACAUCUGUAUGAUGAUGUUCUGGCCUGCAAAGAAAGGUUUGUACUGGCUUUGCAGUCAGCGAGCAGCUGUUUUCUCUUAAACUGGCAAAGUGGAGCAAUUAGAGGGCGGAUCAUAAAGUAUUGAGUUCCGUGGCCCGAGGAGGAUCCGGGCGCCAUCUUGAGAUUCUUUGGUAUCGCUGUGAAUGAGAAAGGGCUGCCAGGAUAAAUGAGAAGACCACAAUGCGCAUAUCUCAGUCGAAAGAGGGCAGUUUUGACAUCAAAGAUAUGGGGGUGGAACCACAGGAAAGAGUCGUUCUCUUUUUCUUUCUCUCGGAACGGCCAACCCGGGAGACCCCAGUCUGAUCCAGCCCUGAUUUUGUGAUACAGACCAGAUGGAAUUCAUUAACUGAGCGCUGGCACUCUUCUCUUUUAUGCCAAUGAGUCAUCCAGUGGAACUCAUCUGUUUUUUUUUUUCUUUCUUUCUUUCUCGAUACCAUCAUCCAAAGCUGUACCUCGCAAUAAUUAUUCACUCAGAUCCAUUACCAGAGGUCUACUGCGUUCGCCUGCUCUCGCUGUUAAACUCUGAUUAUUCUCGCCAGUGCUUCCUCUAUGGGAUCAGCACUCAAACACAGCCCAGAGGCAGACGGGAGAAUUACAGAGAUAUUGAGAUACACACACACACACACACACACACACACACACACACACCAUUAGCAAGACGAGCUUUUCCUUUGGCGACUAAUAAAGCCUUAUCGCAUUGACCACCUACAGGCAUGUCAGGUUUUGCAUGAAAAUGAAACGGUAACAUGAUCUGUUGAUCUUCCUAUUGCCGGAAUGCUUAAUGCCAUAAAUGAAAUAAAAAAAUAAAUAAAUAACAAAUAAAAAAAACCCAAAACAAAACACGACGCACUGAUCGUUUAAUUCUCAACCGUGGCCGAAGGGAUACCGAACUGGGUCUGUGUUACAGCCUUUUGAAGCUCCAGUCUUCUAACGUUCCUGCAGCACAACUCCAGCACCAUUAGGCUUGUACUCAUGGGCUCAUUUGCAGCAGCUCAGCUCCCGAAACAGAGCCCACCACCCUGGAGGAAAUGCUUUACACACUCAUCUGUCAUGAGAGAGAGAGAGAGAGAGAGAGUGUGAGAGAGUGUGUGUGUGUGAAAGAGAGAAAGAGAGGUAGACAGGCAGCCAGUUGAGCAGUCACUCUGCGUGUGUGUGUGUGUGUGUGUGUAGUACAGCAAACACAGCAGGGAGAUGGAGGCUUUUGUCAGGCUCCAGAGCGUGACCAGUCUCCACACACUGUACACACAGAACAGUUGCACUUUUUAUUAUUAUUUUUAUUUUUACCCAUUUAACUUAAAAUGGAGCGUUAUUUACUGUGAUUACUGCUGCUCGUAAAACUAAUCACACAGGGAAUGGCAACAGAAAAAGUCAGCAUGAUCCACACGUGAAUUUUGUACAUUUUGAACACACGUAAUGUUCCACACAUUUUCCACCUGGAGUGCAUGUGGUUGUGUUUUUUUUUUGUUUGUUUUUUAAAUUGUUUUUUUUUAAAUGUAUAUAAUGUAUAUUUAUAACCAAUACUCUCUCUUCUUUUUUUUUUUUUUGUUUGCACACGUGACCUUUUCAAGAUUCAUUCUCACAUUUGAUUCAUGUUCACGUGGACCCCGCCAAUCUAUAAUUUAUUUUCACGCGAUUCAUUUUUCUACACGUGCAAUUUCAGGCCAUGAUACGGUGAAAUGUGCUCUCACGUUUUUAUACUCUCUCACGUUAUUCGUAUAAUAAUCACGUUGUGAAACCCUCGUGAUCACAAGGUUGGCGUGUUAUUUCUCUGUACGGGUUUGCCGUGUAGUGAUUUACAUACACGUGAUCCAGACGUGCAGGUUCACAGAUUCGCAGUGAGAAG